Molecule: ribosomal RNA, 505 nt
Filed under: uncultured bacterium
Lineage: Bacteria
Description: bacterial SSU rRNA
Rfam family: Bacterial small subunit ribosomal RNA
Source: RNAcentral
AUGCAAGUCGAGCGAGAAAGUCCCUUUGGGGGCGAGUAGAGCGGCGGACGGGUGAGUAAUACGUGGGUAAUCUGCCCUCGAGCCUGGGAUAACCCCGCGAAAGUGGGGCUAAUACCGGAUAAGACCACGUGACAUAUGUCGCGGGGUAGAAGGUGGCUUGUAUUCGUACAUGCUAUCACUUGAGGAUGAGCCCAUGGCCUAUCAGCUUGUUGGUGAGGUAAGAGCUUACCAAGGCUAUGACGGGUAGCUGGUCUGAGAGGACGACCAGCCACACUGGGACUGAGACACGGCCCAGACUCCUACGGGAGGCAGCAGUGGGGAAUAUUGGGCAAUGGGCGAAAGCCUGACCCAGCGACGCCGCGUGGGUGAUGAAGGCCUUCGGGUUGUAAAGCCCUUUCGUGCGGAAAGAACAGCCCUGAGUUGAAUAUGCUCAGGGUUUGACGGUACCGCAGGAAGAAGCACCGGCUAACUCCGUGCCAGCAGCCGCGGUAAUACGGAGGGUGCU